GGUCCCAUGGGAUUUUUUUUGUCCCAUGGGACAACAAAAAUCCCAUGGGACCAAAAAAAUCCCAUGGGACC
RNAcentral lists this small RNA (71 nucleotides) under Mytilus galloprovincialis (Mediterranean mussel). Lineage: Eukaryota; Metazoa; Mollusca; Bivalvia; Mytilida; Mytilidae. The record is from RNAcentral.